GGGCCCGAAGGCGAAGGCCCGAGGCUGACGCGGAGGGUCCUGGCAGAGCUGUGGUCGCCAGGAGCGGGACGCGGAGUAGCUGCCCGCGCGCCCGGCUCUGGAGACGGAGGGGCUGCGGUUCCUGCACGUCCCUGUGGGCUCCCCGCUGGCCACCUGCAACCGGUUCAUGGUCUUCAGCUGCAUCCUGUCGUGCCUGAUUUUUCAGCAGCUUUCCACACGCCCGCGAGCCUUGAGGCAGAGGCAGCUGGACCGCGCCGGCUGCUGUGGGUUAGUGACUGCAAAUCCGGGCUGCUGUUCGGGAACCUGACGAUGCUGUGAAACAAGAGGCCUUAGCAGCUGCUCGCCUGAAAACGCAGGAAGAGCUCAACGCACAGGUUUUCGGUUUCUGCCUUUCAGGAGAUGAGAGCAGGUCUUCUCUCCACACCUCUGAGCUCACCGGACCAGCCGAGUCAGGUGUGCCCCCAAAGACUUAUGCGGGCGCAGAAAACCAGCCAAUGAACCACCAGCCUGGACAGGUGGCCAGACGUGCGCAGACCAUGUCCUUGUGGGCAGUUUUCAGAAGCCAGGGGUGCCCGGUGAUUUGCACUUGGCCGGGCACCUACAUGUCACCCCAUCCAGCCUUGCCAACCUGGAAUUCCUGUAUGCUUUCCUUCACCUUUCCUCGCUCCACCCUAGCUGGCUCAGUUCCAAGACUGUCCAGUUAUGACCCCCAAAUUGAAAGUAAUGAAUGUGUCUAGUUUCUCCUUUUCAAA
This is a long non-coding RNA of Phyllostomus hastatus (greater spear-nosed bat), 752 nucleotides long. RefSeq lists it as uncharacterized. The transcript has 4 exons. NCBI's taxonomy places the organism in Eukaryota, Metazoa, Chordata, Mammalia, Chiroptera, Phyllostomidae. The record is from RefSeq and is a predicted model, not a curated record.